GGGUGUAGGCGUGGGUGCAUGGGGGCACCAAGUUAGGGACCAAUCUUAUCUCCAUUAAGAUUCCUUAUAUGAUAAGGGGUGGAAAAAUUCAAAUCAGAUUUGAAUGAGGACUCCUAAUCAAUUGGGGCAUGGAGAAUUAUCUAUAAAUAGGAAGGACCUCUAACCAUCAAAGCAUGAUAAUUUGAUUGAGUGCUAAGGUGGAAAAGAGAGAGAGGUGGCAUCCAAGAGCAGGAAG
This 235-nucleotide long non-coding RNA is filed under the name Elaeis guineensis (African oil palm). Its description in RNAcentral is "long non-coding RNA (EGUI_LNC008957)". Lineage: Eukaryota; Viridiplantae; Streptophyta; Magnoliopsida; Arecales; Arecaceae. The record is from RNAcentral.